Molecule: transfer RNA, 91 nt
Filed under: Ephemerocybe angulata
Lineage: Eukaryota; Fungi; Basidiomycota; Agaricomycetes; Agaricales; Psathyrellaceae
Description: Coprinellus angulatus tRNA-Met
Rfam family: tRNA
About the family: Transfer RNA (tRNA) molecules are approximately 80 nucleotides in length. Their secondary structure includes four short double-helical elements and three loops (D, anti-codon, and T loops). Further hydrogen bonds mediate the characteristic L-shaped molecular structure. tRNAs have two regions of fundamental functional importance: the anti-codon, which is responsible for specific mRNA codon recognition, and the 3' end, to which the tRNAs corresponding amino acid is attached (by aminoacyl-tRNA synthetases). tRNAs cope with the degeneracy of the genetic code in two manners: having more than one tRNA (with a specific anti-codon) for a particular amino acid; and 'wobble' base-pairing, i.e. permitting non-standard base-pairing at the 3rd anti-codon position.
Source: RNAcentral
AGCAGCAUGGCGCAGUGGUAGCGCGCGGGGCUCAUAGCGUUUCACGCCUAAUGUCACUCCGAGGUCACUCGAUCGAAACGAGUUGCUGCUA